CGAAGGGUGCAAGCGUUACUCGGAAUUACUGGGCGUAAAGCGUGCGUAGGUGGUGAGUUAAGUCUGUCGUGAAAGCCCCGGGCUCAGCCUGGGAAUGGCGAUGGAUACUGGCUCGCUAGAGUGCGGUAGAGGAGAGUGGAAUUCCCGGUGUAGCAGUGAAAUGCGUAGAGAUCGGGAGGAACAUCAGUUGCGAAGGCGGCUCUCUGGACCAGCACUGACACUGAGGCACGAAAGCGUGGGGAGCAAACAGGAUUAGAUACCCUGGUAGUCCACGCCCUAAACGAUGCGAACUGGACGUUGGGAGCAAUCAGGCUCUCAGUGUCGAAGCUAACGCGUUAAGUUCGCCGCCUGGGGAGUACGGUCGCAAGACUG
RNAcentral lists this ribosomal RNA (372 nucleotides) under uncultured organism. Its description in RNAcentral is "bacterial SSU rRNA". It matches the Rfam family "Bacterial small subunit ribosomal RNA", at positions 526 to 896 of the family's 1533-position model. The record is from RNAcentral.